UGGGGAAUAUUGCGCAAUGGCCGCAAGGCUGACGCAGCGACGCCGCGUGGGGGAUGAAGCAUUUCGGUGUGUAAACCCCUGUUGCCCGGGACGAACCUCCCCUUUCGAGGGGACUGACGGUACCGGGUGAGGAAGCACCGGCUAACUCCGUGCCAGCAGCCGCGGUAAUACGGAGGGUGCGAGCGUUGUCCGGAAUCACUGGGCGUAAAGGGCGCGUAGGCGGUGACUUAAGCGUGUGGUGAAAGCCCGGGGCUCAACCCCGGGUCGGCCGUGCGAACUGGGUCACUCGAGCACUGUAGAGGCAGGUGGAAUUCCGGGUGUAGCGGUGGAAUGCGUAGAGAUGCGGAAGAACACCAGUGGCGAAGGCGGCCUGCUGGGCAGUAGCUGACGCUGAGGCGCGACAGCGUGGGGAGC
This 414-nucleotide ribosomal RNA is filed under the name uncultured bacterium. RNAcentral's name for it is "bacterial SSU rRNA". It matches the Rfam family "Bacterial small subunit ribosomal RNA", at positions 355 to 769 of the family's 1533-position model. The record is from RNAcentral.